GUCAUACAGGUAUAUAGUCAAGAUUUGUCAAAAAUCCAUUAACUUGGUAGUGAGGAAACCAGCCAGAUGACAACGUUGUUGUGAAGGAAGCUAUAAAAGACCAAAGUGUGGAUGGUCAUUGAAAAAAAAGUUGAGUGCUGGAACAAGACAAUAGAGAUUGCUAUACAAGUGAUUGAUAUUCUAGAAGGCAAUAAAGCCAUAACCACAAAUUUUCCUUUUUUCUACUGGAUAGAAAUCACUUGCAACUUGGUCAUAAAAUAAGUAUUUUGCUACUUGUCCAUCUUCUAUAAAUCAGCAUCUUACCUUAAGAGUUUGGGCCUUACUAAGUAGUAAAUCGCACACCAAACAAAUACACAGACCCCUUGAGUGUACAGUGAGCUUGUUAGGCAGUGAUCUAAUUUUUUGGCAUAACUUUUAACAGCUUCUACUCAGAAGUAUGCUGAUUAUACCAUGCACUGAAAAUCCAAUGAUAAGUGAAACAAACAGAGUCCUGAGUUUAAUGAUAGUAACAAGCAUAAUGAUUAUCUGGAAAGAGAAACACUCAGGUUAUUGAGAAAUUGUAUUAUAGAGGAAAACCAAUAAAUUUUGGAAAAAGCAAAGAAGGUCUCUAAAAAUUCAGUUUAACCAGGAUGGAAAGGCGAAGUCAUAGCUUAUUGGUUUGGAAGAGUGGUUAAGAGUAUUCCAGUAAGAGGGAACAGCAUGUGUGAAGGCCUUAAUUUGGGGAAAACAUAAUGUGUUUAAAGAAUUAAAAUAAGACCAAUUUGGAUGAAUUGGAAUGUAGUAUGCAGAACUACAAUUGUAGUUCUACACAGAGUUGGAAGCAUAGGCAGAGCCAAGUCACACAAAGCCCUGUGGACUGUGUUAAAAUUUUUGGACCUUAUCCUAAAACUGAUGAGAGGCCUUUGAAUGCUUUUAAGGAUGGGAGCAAUCUCACCAGAUCUGUGCUUUAUAAAUCUACUUGGGCUGUGUGAGGGGGGACACAGGGAGAGAACCCAAGAAGGGCCACUUGGGAAGCAGUUAUGGUAGUCCAGGCAAGAAGUGAUAGGGACCUAAAGUAAGGGAUAGCAGUGAGAAUAAAGUAAAAAAAAAAAAAAAAAAAAAA
This is a long non-coding RNA of Lutra lutra (Eurasian river otter), 1102 nucleotides long. RefSeq lists it as uncharacterized. The record is from RefSeq and is a predicted model, not a curated record. The transcript is spliced from 2 exons. Lineage: Eukaryota; Metazoa; Chordata; Mammalia; Carnivora; Mustelidae.